GAUGAACGCUGGCGGCGUGCCUAAUACAUGCAAGUCGAGCGAACAGAUGAGGAGCUUGCUCCUCUGACGUUAGCGGCGGACGGGUGAGUAACACGUGGAUAACCUACCUAUAAGACUGGGAUAACUUCGGGAAACCGGAGCUAAUACCGGAUAAUAUAUUGAACCGCAUGGUUCAAUAGUGAAAGACGGUUUUGCUGUCACUUAUAGAUGGAUCCGCGUCGCAUUAGCUAGUUGGUAAGGUAACGGCUUACCAAGGCGACGAUGCGUAGCCGACCUGAGAGGGUGAUCAGCCACACUGGAACUGAGACACGGUCCAGACUCCUACGGGAGGCAGCAGUAGGGAAUCUUCCGCAAUGGGCGAAAGCCUGACGGAGCAACGCCGCGUGAGUGAUGAAGGUCUUCGGAUCGUAAAACUCUGUUAUUAGGGAAGAACAAAUGUGUAAGUAACUAUGCACGUCUUGACGGUACCUAAUCAGAAAGCCACGGCUAACUACGUG
RNAcentral lists this ribosomal RNA (497 nucleotides) under uncultured bacterium. Its description in RNAcentral is "partial 16S ribosomal RNA". It matches the Rfam family "Bacterial small subunit ribosomal RNA", at positions 28 to 507 of the family's 1533-position model. The record is from RNAcentral.